AGUUUGAUCAUGGCUCAGGAUGAACGCUGGCGGCGUGCUUAACACAUGCAAGUCGAACGGUCUCUUCGGAGAUAGUGGCGGACGGGUGAGUAACGCGUGAGGAUCUGCCCUUAGGAGGGGAACAACAGUUGGAAACGACUGCUAAUGCCCCAUAUGCCGAGAGGUGAAACGGUUAAUUCCGCCUGAGGAUGAACUCGCGUCUGAUUAGCUAGUUGGUGGGGUAACGGCCCACCAAGGCGACGAUCAGUAGCUGGUCUAAGAGGAUGAUCAGCCACACUGGGACUGAGACACGGCCCAGACUCCUACGGGAGGCAGCAGUGGGGAAUUUUCCGCAAUGGGCGCAAGCCUGACGGACAACGCCGCGUGAGGGAGGAAGGCCUUAGGGUUGUAAACCUCUUUUCUCUGGGAAGAAGAACUGACGGUACCAGAGGAAUAAGCCUCGGCUAACUCCGUGCCAGCAGCC
This 463-nucleotide ribosomal RNA is filed under the name uncultured bacterium. RNAcentral's name for it is "bacterial SSU rRNA". It matches the Rfam family "Bacterial small subunit ribosomal RNA", at positions 10 to 516 of the family's 1533-position model. The record is from RNAcentral.